RNAcentral lists this transfer RNA (87 nucleotides) under Thermotogota bacterium. RNAcentral's name for it is "Thermotogae bacterium tRNA-Thr". It matches the Rfam family "tRNA". From Rfam's summary of the family: Transfer RNA (tRNA) molecules are approximately 80 nucleotides in length. The record is from RNAcentral. RNAcentral also lists the same sequence under 1 other name. Lineage: Bacteria; Thermotogati; Thermotogota.
GCCUCGGUAGCAUAGUGGUAAUGCGUCCGCCUCGUAAGCGGAAGAUCGCCGGUUCAAAGAAGAAUGAAAAUCCGGUCCGAGGCUCCA